This 254-nucleotide ribosomal RNA is filed under the name uncultured bacterium. Its description in RNAcentral is "partial small subunit ribosomal RNA". It matches the Rfam family "Bacterial small subunit ribosomal RNA", at positions 26 to 284 of the family's 1533-position model. The record is from RNAcentral.
AGGACGAACGCUGGCGGCGUGCUUAACACAUGCAAGUCGAGCGGUAAGGCCCUUCGGGGUACACGAGCGGCGAACGGGUGAGUAACACGUGGGUAACCUGCCCUGUACUGUGGGAUAAGCCUGGGAAACUGGGUCUAAUACCGCAUAUGACUGCAUCCUGCAUGGGGUGUGGUGGAAAGUUCUGGCGGUACAGGAUGGGCCCGCGGCCUAUCAGCUUGUUGGUGGGUGAUGGCCUACCGAAGGCGACGACGGGU